UGCGGACGUGGUGAAAUUGGCAGACACGCUAGAUUUAGGUUCUAGUGAGAGUAUCUCGUGAGAGUUCAAGUCUCUCCGUCCGCAUC
This 86-nucleotide transfer RNA is filed under the name Thaumatella adunca. RNAcentral describes it as "tRNA-Leu". It matches the Rfam family "tRNA". Rfam says of the family: Transfer RNA (tRNA) molecules are approximately 80 nucleotides in length. Their secondary structure includes four short double-helical elements and three loops (D, anti-codon, and T loops). RNAcentral also lists the same sequence under 1 other name. Lineage: Eukaryota; Rhodophyta; Florideophyceae; Ceramiales; Rhodomelaceae. The record is from RNAcentral.